UCUCAUGGAGACCCAACAACUAUUGUAAGAUAUCGGCUGCCUGUGACAAGGUGGGGGAUAUUGGCACCAUGCCUUCCAGUCUCCUCCUCACCCUAUCGGCUACCCACCAGGACAGAAAAUUUAAGCGACUAAUGCGAAUUGAUGCUGUUAAAUUAUAAUCAUACGAAGAGAUAUCAAAGUUUCCGUGUGACCUUGAACCUGUAUGCUGGGAUACAGGAUGGACAUGGGUCCUUUGAUGCUCUCCUAGCUGUUGAUGCACGGAUGGAUUUCCCUUCUUGUAAAACUGCAGCUCAGGGAAAGCAACUCUAUGAGCGACUUAAAUAUAAUUCACAGAGGUUGAAGGAUAAAGUAAGAGGAGUCCAGGUCCAGCUGGCACACAGCAUGCUCUCUGUUCAGGAGAAAAUGAUGUGUAAAUCAGGGAAGAAUAAAGAAUGGAAAUAUUUGGGGGAAAACAUUGGACGUCUUUGA
Molecule: long non-coding RNA, 468 nt
Filed under: Felis catus (domestic cat)
Lineage: Eukaryota; Metazoa; Chordata; Mammalia; Carnivora; Felidae
Description: lncRNA (ENSFCAG00000046988.1)
Source: RNAcentral